Molecule: ribosomal RNA, 1509 nt
Filed under: Helicobacter pylori
Lineage: Bacteria; Pseudomonadati; Campylobacterota; Epsilonproteobacteria; Campylobacterales; Helicobacteraceae
Description: bacterial SSU rRNA
Rfam family: Bacterial small subunit ribosomal RNA
Source: RNAcentral
UUUAUGGAGAGUUUGAUCCUGGCUCAGAGUGAACGCUGGCGGCGUGCCUAAUACAUGCAAGUCGAACGAUGAAGCUUCUAGCUUGCUAGAAUGCUGAUUAGUGGCGCACGGGUGAGUAACGCAUAGGUCAUGUGCCUCUUAGUUUGGGAUAGCCAUUGGAAACGAUGAUUAAUACCAGAUACUCCCUACGGGGGAAAGAUUUAUCGCUAAGAGAUCAGCCUAUGUCCUAUCAGCUUGUUGGUAAGGUAAUGGCUUACCAAGGCUAUGACGGGUAUCCGGCCUGAGAGGGUGAACGGACACACUGGAACUGAGACACGGUCCAGACUCCUACGGGAGGCAGCAGUAGGGAAUAUUGCUCAAUGGGGGAAACCCUGAAGCAGCAACGCCGCGUGGAGGAUGAAGGUUUUAGGAUUGUAAACUCCUUUUGUUAGAGAAGAUAAUGACGGUAUCUAACGAAUAAGCACCGGCUAACUCCGUGCCAGCAGCCGCGGUAAUACGGAGGGUGCAAGCGUUACUCGGAAUCACUGGGCGUAAAGAGCGCGUAGGCGGGAUAGUCAGUCAGGUGUGAAAUCCUAUGGCUUAACCAUAGAACUGCAUUUGAAACUACUAUUCUAGAGUGUGGGAGAGGUAGGUGGAAUUCUUGGUGUAGGGGUAAAAUCCGUAGAGAUCAAGAGGAAUACUCAUUGCGAAGGCGACCUGCUGGAACAUUACUGACGCUGAUUGCGCGAAAGCGUGGGGAGCAAACAGGAUUAGAUACCCUGGUAGUCCACGCCCUAAACGAUGGAUGCUAGUUGUUGGAGGGCUUAGUCUCUCCAGUAAUGCAGCUAACGCAUUAAGCAUCCCGCCUGGGGAGUACGGUCGCAAGAUUAAAACUCAAAGGAAUAGACGGGGACCCGCACAAGCGGUGGAGCAUGUGGUUUAAUUCGAAGAUACACGAAGAACCUUACCUAGGCUUGACAUUGAGAGAAUCCGCUAGAAAUAGUGGAGUGUCUGGCUUGCCAGACCUUGAAAACAGGUGCUGCACGGCUGUCGUCAGCUCGUGUCGUGAGAUGUUGGGUUAAGUCCCGCAACGAGCGCAACCCCCUUUCUUAGUUGCUAACAGGUCAUGCUGAGAACUCUAAGGAUACUGCCUCCGUAAGGAGGAGGAAGGUGGGGACGACGUCAAGUCAUCAUGGCCCUUACGCCUAGGGCUACACACGUGCUACAAUGGGGUGCACAAAGAGAAGCAAUACUGCGAAGUGGAGCCAAUCUUCAAAACACCUCUCAGUUCGGAUUGUAGGCUGCAACUCGCCUGCAUGAAGCUGGAAUCGCUAGUAAUCGCAAAUCAGCCAUGUUGCGGUGAAUACGUUCCCGGGUCUUGUACUCACCGCCCGUCACACCAUGGGAGUUGUGUUUGCCUUAAGUCAGGAUGCUAAAUUAGCUACUGCCCACGGCACACACAGCGACUGGGGUGAAGUCGUAACAAGGUAACCGUAGGUGAACCUGCGGUUGGAUCACCUCCUUUCUAGA